AUGCUCGCUUUGGCAGCACAUAUACUAAAAUUGGAACGAUACAGAGAAGAUUAGCAUGGCCCCUGCACAAGGAUGACAUGCAAAUUCAUGAAGCGUUCCAUAUUUUU
RNAcentral lists this small nuclear RNA (107 nucleotides) under Apaloderma vittatum (bar-tailed trogon). The record is from RNAcentral. Lineage: Eukaryota; Metazoa; Chordata; Aves; Trogoniformes; Trogonidae.